Molecule: long non-coding RNA, 3067 nt
Organism: Solenopsis invicta (red fire ant)
Lineage: Eukaryota; Metazoa; Arthropoda; Insecta; Hymenoptera; Formicidae
Exons: 3
Source: RefSeq, a predicted model, not a curated record
GGGGACAAAAUAGAUAUUCAUGAAUAAAUAAAUAAUUUUUGAAAAAACACAAAAUUCGCGAUACUUUUUGAACACACCUCGUAGAAUCUAUUACUCCGGAAGAAUAUAAAAAAAGUAGACGUACGAGCUAAAGUGCGGCAUUCAGAUGAUGCUUACAGUUUUGAUGAUUUUUCGGAUAAAGUUCCAGUAAAAAAACGCAAUUCUAAAGUAUUACCACCAUUUCCAAUCGUACCAAAUAAAGGUAAAACGUCAAAAUCGAAAAGUUGUGAUAACAUUAUGCGUAAAGAAAAAUCCAAUGAAAAACAUGAAGCCACAAGAUUCUCAACUUAAUUCACUGACAGAGAAAUCUGACGACGAGGAUGACAUUAAUUAUGACGAAAUUGAAAAAGACGAUUGCGUAAGAAAAGAAAAUUUAGAAUCAAAUAUUGCUCUUGAAAGUGUACCAUCGUCAAUGCGAAAACAGGAUCCAUUAAAAAAAAAUAAUUAAAAAAAUUGAGGAGCAACAAGAUAAACCUAUUAAAAUUGCUUAUUUGAAGGAAAUUUUGUUUAUUCAGCACAAAAUUUUACUACAGUUUGAAGAACUGAAAAAAAACAGAGCAAACGAGACUAUAAGACAAGAAUCAACCUCGUUAUUAACUAAUACAAUAGUAGACAUUUGCAAAUUUGCAAAAAGUCUACCGUUAAAAAAUGAGGAAGAUUUACAGAAAAUGGAAAAAAAUCUUCAAACGGAAGAGUUUCGUACAAAAUGGGUAUAAUAUUAAUGAAACUUUUUUUUAGAUUGAUUAUUAAUUAUUUUAAUGUUGUAAUUGUAUAAAAAUAAAAAACUGUUUUAGCACAGUUUUGUAAUUGUAAAUAUAACUUAUAAGUAAACGGUAAUUUUUUAAAAUUAUCUUUGCAACUUUACUUUCUGUAAUUGUUGCUUUAAAAUUUUGAAAUAUACCAUAAUCGGAUAAUUUAAAUAUGUUUGUAUAUAUUAAUUAUGACAUGUGUCACAUAAAAUAAUUUGUAUUAUUAAUUAUUAUACCAUAAAUAAUCCAACUUUAAACAGGCUCUUAAGUGUUUCUUGUUAUAUCCGUAAUAAAUAUAAUUGUCGACAAAUAAAAUGAUACAAUUACUUAUAAGCUGUUACAGACACAAUGUUCCAAAUUAACGAUUCUUUUUAAGACAAUGAGAAUAGGUCCAAACAAAAAACGGUACUAUCAGAAUGACUAUUAUUCUUUAUUAAAACAUAUUUUUAUCUACAAAAAUAAUACGUUAUUUGCACGUUAUAUUUCAUCUCAUACUUUAUGAAAUUUCGCCACCGUUACAAUCAUUUAAAAUUCUUAGGCCCGAUUUUUCAUUAUCCGGUUAACUUGUGGUUAAACUUAACUUAAUGUUUUAUCCAAUGAGCUUUACUCAUGAUGAUGCCAUAAGUGAAGCUCAUUGGUUGAAACACCAAGUUAAGUUUAACUACAAGUUAACCAGAUAAUGAAAAACCGGGUCUUAAUGUACCAGUCAGCAAAAUGAAAUCAGCCGAUUUUUGUAAAUUUAUAUUCUUUUAAAGCUUUUACUAAUAAAUACAAAUAAUUUUUCUAAUAAUAAAGUAUCCUAGCUAAGGCCUCUUUGACGUUUAUGUAUUAAAAACAAGAAUCGUUAAUCCUGCCUGGACGUCAAUGUUUCUAUACAAAGGUAUUUUAUAUGACUAUAGUUCAUAAAAUAAAGCACUCACUUUUGUUUGAGUUUGUAUCUUAACUUGUAUGUAUCCGAGAAAACGUAAUUGUUAUUGUCAUUGCUCUAUUUUGUUGAUGUAAAAAUUGUGAACUGUAUAUAAUCUGUUUAUAUUUGUAGACACACAACACAUAUAUAAUACAGAGUAUAUAUGUGACACACAUAAUGUUCACAUUUCUACAUUUGCAAAAACUAAUUUACGCUAUCUUUUCAUUAUAACUGCUUCCAAUGUUACAAUUUACGGUAAGAAAAUUUUUAUGUAAGAAUAUAUAAGCCUACUGAAAAUCUUUCUUGAUUCAAUUUUCCUACAGAUUAUUUAAAUUUAUAUAUUUCUGUAAUAAUGUUUUUCAUCGAAUUGAAUAAACAUAUGACAUUGUACUGACUGCACAAAUAUCAAUUGCUAUGUUGAAUUUUCUUCCGAGUUGUUGUAUCUAAUUUACAUUUACUGUAAGUUUAUUGUCAUUAAAUAUUACACAUUAUAAAAAAAUAUUAACCGAACAUCACUUUCCAAAUUGAAGAAAAUGUGACUUUGAAUACAUAACAUUCUUAUUAAAACAGUUAUUAAUAUUUAAUUUAAGCAAAUUUUAAGUAUACGUAUAUUAUGUUCAAAUUUUAAUACGUUUGUUCUAUGGGAGAUAUGUUGUGGGAUAAAAUAGAUAAUUUAAGUAAAGAAGUUUAUGAAUUUAAAAUUGAAAGCAAACAACAAUAUAAUAAGUGUAUGUCAAAAAUGAAGGAACUAAUCGCAAUCUUAAAAGAGAAAUUCCCAAAUAACGAGAUCGAAAACGAAAACAAUGACUUAAUAUUGCUCAUUGUUGCCCGAUUUCCCAUUAUUAUCUAUAGAAGAAUUUUGGGAAUUUAAUAAUAGAUUAAAAACGAUGAAGCAAUUCGUAAAUUACUUGUAAGUAUUAUUACUUAUUGUACACUUUAUAUCUUCUACACUUUUUUUACGUAUAUAAUUUUUCACCGGCUGAAAUAGUUCUAUGAAAUCAAGAACAUGUACUUUUUUCAUAUUUAAAUAAUGCUAUUUGAAUAUUUUUGACAGAAGCAAACUAUUAUGCAAAUAGGUGGUGAUACAAGCCAAGAAAUAAUCUCCAAUAUCUUGACACAUACAAUGGCAUAUGAAUUAGGACACAAAAUGUCUUGGACCGGUGCCAAAAGAUCGAUUGCUAUCAAAAAUACUCUGUUUAUUCACAUUAUAAUUAGUGAGUAAUUAAUAUAUGUUUUUACAUUAAAACAGUUUGAUAUAUGCUAACAUGAUUAUUAUGAGGGAUAUAAUAAUGCGUGCAUCUUUGUAAUAACAUAUUAAGAACAAUGUACCACUGAAGAAGAGUAAACAAUACUUAAUUUCUAUCUAUUUUUA